Chiroxiphia lanceolata (lance-tailed manakin) is the source of this 151-nucleotide long non-coding RNA. RefSeq lists it as uncharacterized. The record is from RefSeq and is a predicted model, not a curated record. The transcript is spliced from 3 exons. NCBI's taxonomy places the organism in Eukaryota, Metazoa, Chordata, Aves, Passeriformes, Pipridae.
CCAGAGAAAGUCUAGAUCAGAUAUUAGGAAAAAUUUCUUCAUGGAAAGAGUUGCCAAGCAUUGGAACAGGCUGCCCAGGGAAGUGGAGUAACCACCCCUGGAGGUAUGUAAAAGAUGUGGAUGUGGUGCUUAAGGAUAUGGUUUAGUGAGU